UCCCUGGUGGUCCAUUGGUUAAGACUUUGCACUUCCAAUGCAGGGGUCCUGGUUUGAUUCCUGGUUGGAGAA
Molecule: non-coding RNA, 72 nt
Organism: Bos taurus (domestic cattle)
Lineage: Eukaryota; Metazoa; Chordata; Mammalia; Artiodactyla; Bovidae
Source: Rfam